Molecule: ribosomal RNA, 577 nt
Filed under: Humicola fuscoatra
Lineage: Eukaryota; Fungi; Ascomycota; Sordariomycetes; Sordariales; Chaetomiaceae
Description: eukaryotic LSU rRNA
Rfam family: Eukaryotic large subunit ribosomal RNA
Source: RNAcentral
UUGACCUCGGAUCAGGUAGGAAGACCCGCUGAACUUAAGCAUAUCAAUAAGCGGAGGAAAAGAAACCAACAGGGAUUGCCCUAGUAACGGCGAGUGAAGCGGCAACAGCUCAAAUUUGAAAUCUGGCUUCGGCCCGAGUUGUAAUUUGCAGAGGAAGCUUUGGGCGCGGCACCGACUGAGUCCCCUGGAACGGGGCGCCAUAGAGGGUGAGAGCCCCGUAUAGUCGGACGCUAAGCCUGUGUAAAGCUCCUUCGACGAGUCGAGUAGUUUGGGAAUGCUGCUCAAAAUGGGAGGUAAAUUUCUUCUAAAGCUAAAUACCGGCCAGAGACCGAUAGCGCACAAGUAGAGUGAUCGAAAGAUGAAAAGCACUUUGAAAAGAGGGUUAAAUAGCACGUGAAAUUGUUGAAAGGGAAGCGCUUGUGACCAGACUUGCGCCUGGCUGAUCAUCCGGUGUUCUCACCGGUGCACUCUGCCAGGCUCAGGCCAGCAUCGGUUCUCGCGGGGGGAUAAAGGCCCUGGGAACGUAGCUCCUCCGGGAGUGUUAUAGCCCAGGGUGCAAUGCCCUCGCGGGGACCGA